CGAGCCGUUAGUGUAGCAGGGCAUACUCUGGAGAACCCCAGAGAAGCGGAGUGUUCGAAUCCUCCCGGCUCGA
This 73-nucleotide transfer RNA is filed under the name Candidatus Saccharimonadota bacterium. RNAcentral describes it as "Candidatus Saccharibacteria bacterium tRNA-OTHER". Lineage: Bacteria; Candidatus Saccharimonadota. The record is from RNAcentral.